AUUGCGUAAAUCUUUGGCGAACCUGACAUUUCAAUGUUGGAAGAUGAGGGAUGUGUGUUGGAAAGGAUUCGUAAACCAUGAUUAGUAUUAUUUUGGUUCGAAGUAAUGUUUCGUGAUAAUAAGUAAAAUAAAAUGUGAGAAAAGAUUUAGAAAUUGCUUUAGAUUGUUAGAGUAAAUGUAUAUUUAAUGUUGCUGAGAUGGUUGCAAAUAUUCAGUUUCGCCGGAUGUUAGACUGUUGUAAAAUGAAUGAAACUAUCAAAUAAAGAGGGAGAGCUAUGGCAGAGACUGUGCGAGAAUGGCUGCAAGAUUGUGCAAGUCAGGAACCUGACCAGCUUCAUAGUUUUGCCGUUUCACUGGAACAUAACCACAGUCUCAUUGCAGCAUUGCAUUCCGUCUUGGAGGAACGAGGCCGGUUCGCAGAUGUAUCUUGUGGAUCCAGUCUGCUCACAACUGUUUGAACUGUACCGCUCAAAGCAGCCAGACCUGCAACGUUUCACAUUGCAGUUUCUUCCAACAUUAAUUUUUGUUUAUUUGAACUCUGUAGCACAUGGUGACAAGAAGAGUUGUCGCAGUGUUGAGACAUUAUUACUUGGUUUGUACAAUCUUGAAGUGGUGGAUGAGAGUGGUCAGCCAAAAAUCAUCUCCUUUCGCCUGCCUUCAUUAGCACAAGGAUCCAUUUACCAUGAGCCUAUGUCCCUUGCACCACUGACUGAGAGUGCCCUACGUCGAUGGGAGGAAUGCAAUACCAAACCUGUUCAGUGGGGUCCUAUGCCUCAGGUGGAAACACUUAAUGCCCAAAACAGACUAAAGGUGAUGACAGCAUUAUUAUUUCUCUACAACCAACAGCUGAGUCUUGCAAGCAAAUCUGCCCUUGAAUAUCUCAGCAAGGUCUGCUCUAAGAUAGUGACUCAAGGCUUCAGCAAACCAGGUCACCACCAGAGAUCAUCAUAUGGUUCAGAUAGUUCCAGCUUGGUUCCACGCUUGUUGCCACGUAUUCCUGUCUCAUCACAAUUUCUUCUUGAGCUGCUUCAUGGUGCCUAUUUCUCAUUAUUUAACGGAGCAGCAGCUGCAGCACAAGCAGCUCUUGAUGAUCUCCAUACCCGUGCCUGUUUUGAAGGGUAUCCAGAGGUUGUGUUAGCUACUAAUGCUGUACGGAACUCUUUGCAAGUCAACACCUCUGGUCAACCUACAGAUGGACCAAUGGGUAUCAGUGUUGCUCUUACACCAGCAACGACAACAGUUACGACUGUCAGCAAAUCAAUGAUUACGAAUGCUUCUUUCCGUACGAAGAAGCUUCCUGACGACAUUCCAAUCCAAACUUCAAAAGAGGACGGCAGUGUGAGUGGAACUCCAGAGUCGAAGAACUUGAGUGCAAUAACAGAGGAGGGAGAGGGUGAUGGAGAACGACUCACUCCACGUGCCAGUUCCCUGCGAACAAGGGACAAGAAACUCCCCAGCUUUCCUGGGCUAAAGAAGACAGCUCGUAGCAAUGGUGUUGCAGCUUCAGAUAAGAAACCAAAGCGCUCUGUCACUGCUGAGACAAACGGUCCUCUGCAGCCUCCUUCAGACAGCCCAGAUUCUGGUGCAGGCAGCAGUGAGGGCACUACAGGAGGUGAUGGUAUGGUUACAGAUGCAGGAAGUGGUAGUGUAAGUGGAAAUGGAUCUGUUGAGGUGGAGCAUCUUUCAGCAACUCAAGUCAGUACUGUCUGAGAGGGAACAACCUUACUGCCCGUACAGAGGAUGCAAGCACACUACUCCUCUCACUUUUCCUACCACUUUUUUUUUAAAGAUUUUCAGAUUACUUAUUUGGCUGUGAAUGUUAUGUAUAGUCUCUGUUUUAUUAAUUCUGCUAUUACAUUUUUUGAUAAGGAAAAACAAUGCAUGUAGAAUAAGGAUCAUACAAAAAGUUGAGGUGUAGCAGAAAUAUUGUACAGGUGCUUUUUGUGUGUAGUGAACUGCAGCAUUGAAGAGUGUCACUGUCUGUAGCUUCGUUGUAUACAUAUUUGUUUUAGAGAUAGGACAUAAAUAUCAGAAUUUUCGUAACUGCAAAUAGUAAAAGAAAAGAUGAAGUAUCAUUUAGUCCCGAAAGGAUUUCAGAAAUUUAAUCGACUUACAUGAAUCAUUGUGUAUUAAUUAAUUAGUUGCUAUCUGCUGUUACUAUGCAUUUUUACAUUUACCGUUUGAAAUUUUGGAAACAGUCAAUAAUGCAGAGGUUGAUGUAAAUUCAUAUUUCCUCCUAUAUAGAAGUGUCUCGUUCCAAGCCAUGAGUUAUCUCAUAUGCUCAAAUGUGGUCAUCUCAGAAUAUCUUAAUUUAGCAUUUUCUGUAGUGGGCUCUAAUUUCAGUUGUCUAAAUAUUAUCCAUGAUGGGUGAAAGCUGAUAUUAAUGUACAUUGUGGAAUAUAGUAGCAGAAUAUUUUAGUACAUAAGUUUUCCAGUAGCUUGUUACUGGAACACCAUUGUAUUACAUGUAUAUAAUUAUUCUGGAAUAACACUAAAACUAAGUACUUCAAAGACAGAUAAAAUUGUUGAUAUCUACUCUUUUUGUAUGGCAUUUUUAAAUACUCAGAUUGUUGGAUAUGAAUCAAACAAGUGUUAAGCUCUACAUUGUAAUUUAUAUUGUACUACAAAUCUUCUAUAUUUUUCCUUGUUUCCAUGGACUCUAGGUAUUUAACCAUGUAGAAAAGAGCUGCAGUAUAUUUUGACAACAUCUGUGGCAUUAGAGAGACAAUAAUUUGAAGGGACUGAUGGCUCUUAUACAUAUAUGUUCAAGGAUUUCCAAAGAUAUUGACAACUGAAACAAUUUCAUGGUGUUGUUUAUUGUGAUUUUAGAAGUACAUUAUACUAGUGUAGGGUGUAAAGGUGAACCAUAUUUUUCUCAAUGAAAGUGUGUAUUUAUUUUAAUGACUUAAUCUACAAUUGUUUGAACAUUGUGCUGAUUGUUUUCUUGUAUCCGUUUAUAUUGUAAUGUAGAGGAACAAUGCCAACAUACUAAAUGUUCAUAAAAUAUAAGGUAAGUAAUAUUUUGUAAUAUUACUGCUUCAGGAAAACUCAUUUUAGGAUGAUGCUGUUAAAAUUAACAACACAGAAACAUCAGUUUUUUUAUGCGAAACUAACUAGGACAGCGUUUUCAACUUAACCCUCUUGAAUUAUUUUCAGUAUCUGUGAGCAUAGUUUACAAGUUGUUAUUUAUCAUAAAACUACUGUUAUCUAAUUCUUUCCACACACUUGCAAAAGAUGUUUUUGCUACCAGAUUGGAUCAUUUUUCCACAAGGAAGGAUUAAAUUAUAUUUCAUGUAUGUUUUGACAUACAUUUCAGUAAUGGUGCAUAAAGAGGCAUUUAUACCAGCUUUGAAAAGUGGACUUGUUUUGCUGUUUUCACCAUUUAAAUUUAUAGAAUAAAUCUGAUCAGAAUAUUUUGGAGUUCAUAAUGUAGUGUUUUGAGAACAUGAGUGGCAUUAGAGCAUUGAAUUGCUGAAAGUGUUACAUUGAUAUUCUUGUUAGACUAGUCAACGACUUACCUUUUGCCUUCUAAACACUUCGUACCUGAUGUUUAUCUAACUGUUACAGUUGCAAUUGUAAUUAGGCCAGGCCCAAUGUAUCUUACAAAUGUGCAGUUAUAUCUGCAAUGUUGUUAAUAUAUCUGGCUAUGUUUUGUGUUGUUAAGGAUGAUAUAGAUAUUCAGCUUACUGUUUGGAAAUUGAUGUAUAAAGGGUCUAUGGCAUAUAAAUAUAUAGAUUUUUUCUCAUUUA
RNAcentral lists this unclassified non-coding RNA (3749 nucleotides) under Schistocerca americana (American grasshopper). RNAcentral describes it as "hyccin, transcript variant X1". The record is from RNAcentral. Lineage: Eukaryota; Metazoa; Arthropoda; Insecta; Orthoptera; Acrididae.